GGGGAGACGCCGGGGGAGGAAGGCAGCCGGGAGAAGGAAAGCUGGGACGGGCCGGGACCACAGGAGCCCCAGCCCCACACAGCAACCACCCGGGCGAGAAAGAAAGAAAGAGCCAGGGAGGCGGGCGAAGCGCGGGGAGAGAAGCAGAGAAGAAAUAUUCACCUUCCCGCCUCAUGCCCACUUUGAGGCACUUCUUGAGGCGGCAGUAUUGGCACUGGUUGCGGUGGUGCUGGUCGAUGGGACAGUUCCUGUUGGCACGGCAUGUGUAAGUUAAGUUCCUGCGGACGCUCCUCUUGAAGAAACUUUUGCAGCCCUCGCAGCAGGUAGAUGAAACUCAAGAGAAAAGGUGUGGAUAAAUGAAACUAGCCCAUGAUGAACCUGUUUUCUCCGUGACCACAAUAUUAACCAGGAUGAAUGGCGGUGGCAGUGGGCCUGCAUCACAGGUUGCAGCAGAUGUUCUCAAUAUUUCUAUUAAAAUUUCCUUAUUUCCAUAUGCAAGAGGAGCCCCAGAGCUGCAUCCUUAUGGUAGCUACCAUGCCGUGAUGUAAGCUGCCAUUCACUGGGGAGCUUUGGCAAUAGAAUUGGCUAGAUCAGGAAGCCUAUGUCAACUAUGGAACAACAACUUGCAGCUCAUCUCUAUUGAUG
This 645-nucleotide long non-coding RNA is filed under the name Homo sapiens (human). Its description in RNAcentral is "non-protein coding NR2F1-AS1:2". Lineage: Eukaryota; Metazoa; Chordata; Mammalia; Primates; Hominidae. The record is from RNAcentral.